GAAUGCUGACAUAAGUAACGAUAAAGCGGGUGAAAAGCCCGCUCGCCGGAAGACCAAGGGUUCCUGUCCAACGUUAAUCGGGGCAGGGUGAGUCGACCCCUAAGGCGAGGCCGAAAGGCGUAGUCGAUGGGAAACGGGUUAAUAUUCCCGUACUUGGUGUUACUGCGAAGGGGGGACGGAGAAGGCUAUGUUGGCCGGGCGACGGUUGUCCCGGUUUAAGCGUGUAGGUGUGUGUUCCAGGUAAAUCCGGUUCACUUUAACACUGAGGCGUGACGACGAGGCACUACGGUGCUGAAGCAACAAAUGCCCUGCUUCCAGGAAAAGCCUCUAAGCAUCAGGUAACAUCAAAUCGUACCCCAAACCGACACAGGUGGUCAGGUAGAGAAUACCAAGGCGCUUGAGAGAACUCGGGUGAAGGAACUAGGCAAAAUGGUGCCGUAACUUCGGGAGAAGGCACGCUGACACGUAGGUGAAGUGAUUUACUCAUGGAGCUGAAGUCAGUCGAAGAUACCAGCUGGCUGCAACUGUUUAUUAAAAACACAGCACUGUGCAAACACGAAAGUGGACGUAUACGGUGUGACGCCUGCCCGGUGCCGGAAGGUUAAUUGAUGGGGUCAGCGCAAGCGAAGCUCCUGAUCGAAGCCCCGGUAAACGGCGGCCGUAACUAUAACGGUCCUAAGGUAGCGAAAUUCCUUGUCGGGUAAGUUCCGACCUGCACGAAUGGCGUAAUGAUGGCCAGGCUGUCUCCACCCGAGACUCAGUGAAAUUGAACUCGCUGUGAAGAUGCAGUGUACCCGCGGCAAGACGGAAAGACCCCGUGAACCUUUACUAUAGCUUGACACUGAACAUUGAGCCUUGAUGUGUAGGAUAGGUGGGAGGCUUUGAAGUGUGGACGCCAGUCUGCAUGGAGCCGACCUUGAAAUACCACCCUUUAAUGUUUGAUGUUCUAACGUGGACCCGUUACCCGGGUUGCGGACAGUGUCUGGUGGGUAGUUUGACUGGGGCGGUCUCCUCCUAAAGAGUAACGGAGGAGCACGAAGGUUGGCUAAUCCUGGUCGGACAUCAGGAGGUUAGUGCAAUGGCAUAAGCCAGCUUGACUGCGAGCGUGACGGCGCGAGCAGGUGCGAAAGCAGGUCAUAGUGAUCCGGUGGUUCUGAAUGGAAGGGCCAUCGCUCAACGGAUAAAAGGUACUCCGGGGAUAACAGGCUGAUACCGCCCAAGAGUUCAUAUCGACGGCGGUGUUUGGCACCUCGAUGUCGGCUCAUCACAUCCUGGGGCUG
Molecule: ribosomal RNA, 1280 nt
Filed under: Salmonella enterica subsp. enterica
Lineage: Bacteria; Pseudomonadati; Pseudomonadota; Gammaproteobacteria; Enterobacterales; Enterobacteriaceae
Also listed under: 1 other name
Description: partial 23S ribosomal RNA
Rfam family: Bacterial large subunit ribosomal RNA
Source: RNAcentral